Molecule: non-coding RNA, 96 nt
Filed under: bovine gut metagenome
Source: RNAcentral
AUAGGGGUGCUCUUAUGUUGCUCUGAAUGAGCACGAAGAAGCUGAGAACAUACCCUAAAACUUGAUCCGGAUAAUGCCGGCGUAAGGAAUGAAAUU